This is an RNA transcript of Boleophthalmus pectinirostris (great blue-spotted mudskipper), 615 nucleotides long. It is a transcript of the gene named apolipoprotein C-II, with no coding region annotated. Lineage: Eukaryota; Metazoa; Chordata; Actinopteri; Gobiiformes; Gobiidae. The transcript has 6 exons. The record is from RefSeq and is a predicted model, not a curated record.
GUCAACACAUGUGUGCUCCUAUAAAACCAGCUCUCACUACUGUGGCUCCUAGUCUGUUUCUGCUGCACCGGAUAACAACUGCCCCAAGAUGAACAAGCUGUUGGUCAUCACUGUGCUCGCUGCCCUGCUGGCUAUCAAUGCGGAGGGCUUCCGUGUGUAUAGGCAGGUGGAGGAGGAGGCGGAGCAGCCGGGCACUUUCACAAAGAUGACCAAUGCCUUCAGAUCCUACUACGAGAACGCAAUCAACACAGCCAGCGGGUAUCUGGACAGCGUCAAGGGCCUCAAGCAGGAGGAGAAAGCAAAGAACCUCUAUGAAGAGACCACCAAAGUGAUGAGCACAUACACUGGAAUCGUACAGGAUCAGCUCUACCACAUCCUCUACCAGCAGCAGUAAAAACUCAACUCAACAAAGACAAGCAGGAGAUGCCACUUAGGCCAAUUUACAGGCAAAGAAGUAGCAUCUUCAUGGUGGCAAACCUCAAACCUGAAAAGUUACGCAGUGUACCUUUCAGAAAACAGCCAGUUCUGUUUCCAUUAUUGUCAUGAUCUGAUCUGACCAGUGUUUCUGUCAGUGAAUUGAAUGUUUGUCAUAUCUUGAAUAAAAUAUUUAUACGC